UGGGCACUGAGGGCCAGGUACACUGCAGGACCCCGCUGUGAGAGUGUCACUGAGGUGUCUGAUCAGGAAGGCCAAGAAGGGGUGACAUCUGUGACUGUGAAGGUGGGGGUGGCUGUUUCGGUACAAAACGUGCAGGAAAUGUUUCUCCCACACCUACCGCAGCCAAGCCAUGGUCGUUGACUUGAGUGACAGGGGAAUGGGAGACUAGGAUGUCUCAGCACAAGCCCCCCUAAGCCUUGGCUUGCAGGGUGAGGUCUUGAACACAGCCAGAGCCUGUUACAUUAAAGGCUUUGUAAAAGCAACAUUGCCAGGCUAACAUCCACCUCCCACGUUAGCAGCAGCCCCGGCAGGUGUAACGUGAUCCGGGCAGCCCAAGCCAGCGAGUAAACAAACGGCCGCUUUCUGCACAAGCUGCACCAGAGAACCUCUCCCAGCAGGGAAUUAGGGUGAAUACUGGUGCUACGCGAGCUGUGCUGCUAUGGAAAGGUUCAAGCCCCAUCUCCAGCACAAGAAAACCUGUGUAGCCCUUCCUUUUGUGGCCAGAGCUGCAAAACAGCCCCACAGCCAGAGCACUCGCACAAGGAGCCAUUAGACAAGACAGACAUUGGGAAAAGCUAUAAAUAAAGCGACUCUGGUGGUGAAG
Molecule: long non-coding RNA, 643 nt
Filed under: Anser brachyrhynchus (Pink-footed goose)
Lineage: Eukaryota; Metazoa; Chordata; Aves; Anseriformes; Anatidae
Description: lncRNA (ENSABRG00000004703.1)
Source: RNAcentral